This 468-nucleotide ribosomal RNA is filed under the name uncultured bacterium. Its description in RNAcentral is "partial 16S ribosomal RNA". It matches the Rfam family "Bacterial small subunit ribosomal RNA", at positions 28 to 507 of the family's 1533-position model. The record is from RNAcentral.
GACGAACGCUGGCGGCGUGCUUAACACAUGCAAGUCGAACGGAAAGGCCCUGCUUUUGUGGGGUGCUCGAGUGGCGAACGGGUGAGUAACACGUGAGUAACCUGCCCUUGACUUUGGGAUAACUUCAGGAAACUGGGGCUAAUACCGGAUAGGAGCUCCUGCUGCAUGGUGGGGGUUGGAAAGUUUCGGCGGUUGGGGAUGGACUCGCGGCUUAUCAGCUUGUUGGUGGGGUAGUGGCUUACCAAGGCUUUGACGGGUAGCCGGCCUGAGAGGGUGACCGGCCACAUUAGUGCUAAGGUGCUGCCGAGCAUCCUACGGCGGGCAGCAGUAGGGAAGAUUGCACAACGGGCGGAGGCCUCAUGCAGCAACACCGCGUGCGGGAUGACGACCUUCGGGUUGUAGAACGCUUUCGCCUGUUGUGAAGAGUGAGUGGCGGUAAUGGUUAGAGAAGAACCGGCUAACUACGUG